CUAGACCUACGGGGGGCAGCAGUGAGUCCUAUUGGUCCCUUUCCGCCCGUCUGAACCAGCCAUGCCGCGUGCAGGAUGACGGCUCUAUGAGUUGUAAACUGCUUUUGUACGAGGGUAAACCCCGAUACGUGUAUCGGGUUGAAAGUAUCGUACGAAUAAGGAUCGGCUAACUCCGUGCCAGCAGCCGCGGUAAUACGGAGGAUCCGAGCGUUAUCCGGAUUUAUUGGGUUUAAAGGGUGCGUAGGCGGUUUGAUAAGUUAGAGGUGAAAUGUCGGGGCUCAACCCCGAAACUGCCUCUAAUACUG
RNAcentral lists this ribosomal RNA (305 nucleotides) under uncultured bacterium. Its description in RNAcentral is "bacterial SSU rRNA". It matches the Rfam family "Bacterial small subunit ribosomal RNA", at positions 331 to 635 of the family's 1533-position model. The record is from RNAcentral.